RNAcentral lists this ribosomal RNA (497 nucleotides) under uncultured bacterium. RNAcentral describes it as "partial 16S ribosomal RNA". It matches the Rfam family "Bacterial small subunit ribosomal RNA", at positions 28 to 507 of the family's 1533-position model. The record is from RNAcentral.
GAUGAACGCUGGCGGCGUGCCUAAUACAUGCAAGUCGAGCGAACAGACGAGGAGCUUGCUCCUCUGACGUUAGCGGCGGACGGGUGAGUAACACGUGGAUAACCUACCUAUAAGACUGGGAUAACUUCGGGAAACCGGAGCUAAUACCGGAUAAUAUAUUGAACCGCAUGGUUCAAUAGUGAAAUACGGUUUUGCUGUCACUUAUAGAUGGAUCCGCGCCGCAUUAGCUAGUUGUUAAGGUAACGGCUUACCAAGGCAACGAUGCGUAGCCGACCUGAGAGGGUGAUCGGCCACACGGGAACUGAGACACGGUCAAGACUCCUACGGGAGGCAGCAGUAGGGAAUCUUCCGCAAUGGGCGAAAGCCUGACGGAGCAACGCCGCGUGAGUGAUGAAGGUCUUCGGAUCGUAAAACUCUGUUAUUAGGGAAGAACAAAUGUGUAAGUAACUAUGCACGUCUUGACGGUACCUAAUCAGAAAGCCACGGCUAACUACGUG